AAGUGAUGAGGUAGUUAAGAGGAACAAAAUCAGCCAAACACUUUAGCCAGGGGCUGUCACCAACCCUGCCAGCCUGUUCACAGUAAUGGUUGCGAUAGCUACAAUGAGAUAAGCUGUGUUUUCUCCACGCAAAGCCAGAAUUGCAUUCCAGCUUCAAAGCUUUGCAAUAGUUCGACAUUCAACUCCAUUUGUGUUUCACGCCGCCCAAGUCUUAGAUUGCUUAGAGUGUUGUUUAUCUCCCAAAACCAUAUCCUAAAUUUUGAAACAUAAGCAGAGAACAAAUACACGAUUGUUUCCAAACCAAAGCUCCUAGCUCCAUCUCUUGCUUCGUGUCAGAAUGGAAGAUUAGCGCCAGCUUUCAAGGUGCCAUUGUCUUCCCGUACGCCAACAAUGGGGUAAUAAACCAGCCGCUGUGUUUUGUUCUGUCUCUGUAUGUAAAUGCUUUUGUAAGAGAUACUUUUUAACAUGCUUGGAGGAGUGCACAUGUGAACGUCUUGUCAGCAAGGAGACGCUUGUUUACUGAAGCAGGGCUUUGUUGAGAGAGCCAGCCAGCUGAUUCUACACCUCAGGCAUGUCUAACAGCAACAUCAGCAGAGAGGGAAGCUCUUCCUCUUUGAGUGUUUGUUCUUCUGAAUCCCUGUCGAGGCAGACGUCCAGGAACAGUCAGGUGGCAGAUAGUAGAUCUUUGGCCACAGCGCUGGUACAAUUGACUUCUGUAGCCUGGCCAACCACAAGGAGUUCAUUACAGUGGAACAUCUCAUCUUCUGUUGGAGAAAGGUGGCUGCUGAAGCUCCUGUAAUGUCUGCUGGGAUAGCCAUGUUUACCACCCUCAACCUCAGGCUGUUCCCCACUGAGAGCUUCAUGCCCAACAAGGGUGCAGCACACCGAAUCCUCCCCUGAAUCAGGAGCUCACGUAAACAACCUGCGGGCAGCACCUCCUCUCCCCAGACUGUACCCGGUUACUAAGAUUUUAUACUGCUCCAAUAAAGAGCACCUCAAGAUUUCUCCAGAAGUCCUUUUUAUUUCUUUUACAGGGACAUGUAACUGUAAACUCGUGUGUGUUUCCUUGCCUUUAUCAGAAAAUGGGGGUGUGCAGUUAAGCCAUCUCUAUACAGGUAUGUAUCAGGAUAUAUUGCAGUGACUGGAAUUAUUUGUAUCUAAAUCCAGAUCAAACAGAGUUCAAAAGUAAAACUGAAUGAAAAUAAUGUUUUUUUCUUCCAUUUAGUAAACAUGGCUUAUAUAAUUUGAAAUAAGUAAAUAAAUAAACUUUUCA
This 1273-nucleotide long non-coding RNA is filed under the name Carassius auratus (goldfish). Its description in RNAcentral is "lncRNA (ENSCARG00000043745.1)". The record is from RNAcentral. Lineage: Eukaryota; Metazoa; Chordata; Actinopteri; Cypriniformes; Cyprinidae.